AAAUUGAAGAGUUUGAUCAUGGCUCAGAUUGAACGCUGGCGGCAGGCCUAACACAUGCAAGUCGAACGGUAACAGAAAGCAGCUUGCUGCUUUGCUGACGAGUGGCGGACGGGUGAGUAAUGUCUGGGAAACUGCCUGAUGGAGGGGGAUAACUACUGGAAACGGUAGCUAAUACCGCAUAACGUCGCAAGACCAAAGAGGGGGACCUUCGGGCCUCUUGCCAUCGGAUGUGCCCAGAUGGGAUUAGCUUGUUGGUGGGGUAACGGCUCACCAAGGCGACGAUCCCUAGCUGGUCUGAGAGGAUGACCAGCCACACUGGAACUGAGACACGGUCCAGACUCCUACGGGAGGCAGCAGUGGGGAAUAUUGCACAAUGGGCGCAAGCCUGAUGCAGCCAUGCCGCGUGUAUGAAGAAGGCCUUCGGGUUGUAAAGUACUUUCAGCGGGGAGGAAGGGAGUAAAGUUAAUACCUUUGCUCAUUGACGUUACCCGCAGAAGAAGCACCGGCUAACUCCGUGCCAGCAGCCGCGGUAAUACGGAGGGUGCAAGCGUUAAUCGGAAUUACUGGGCGUAAAGCGCACGCAGGCGGUUUGUUAAGUCAGAUGUGAAAUCCCCGGGCUCAACCUGGGAACUGCAUCUGAUACUGGCAAGCUUGAGUCU
RNAcentral lists this ribosomal RNA (659 nucleotides) under Escherichia coli. RNAcentral describes it as "bacterial SSU rRNA". It matches the Rfam family "Bacterial small subunit ribosomal RNA", at positions 1 to 649 of the family's 1533-position model. The record is from RNAcentral. Lineage: Bacteria; Pseudomonadati; Pseudomonadota; Gammaproteobacteria; Enterobacterales; Enterobacteriaceae.